GACAGAGGGUGCAAACGUUGCUCGGAAUCACUGGGCGUAAAGGGCGUGUAGGCGGGAAGGAAAGUCAGAUGUGAAAUCCCUGGGCUCAACCCAGGAACUGCAUUUGAAACUCCCUUUCUUGAGUGUCGGAGAGGAAAGCGGAAUUCCUGGUGUAGAGGUGAAAUUCGUAGAUAUCAGGAGGAACACCGGUGGCGAAGGCGGUUCUCUGGGCAUUACCUGACGCUGAGGAGCGAAAGUGUGGGGAGCGAACAGG
This 253-nucleotide ribosomal RNA is filed under the name uncultured bacterium. RNAcentral's name for it is "partial 16S ribosomal RNA". It matches the Rfam family "Bacterial small subunit ribosomal RNA", at positions 524 to 776 of the family's 1533-position model. The record is from RNAcentral.